Bos taurus (domestic cattle) is the source of this 966-nucleotide long non-coding RNA. The record is from Ensembl. Lineage: Eukaryota; Metazoa; Chordata; Mammalia; Artiodactyla; Bovidae.
AGCAUGAAGGGCCAGCGAUUUCAGAAUAAGUGAUUGCCAAACAUACAUCGGGCUCCUCAAAGCUCCCAUGACCUCUCAGAGAAAAUGAGGGAAGUUUCCCAGGGCUCUGUCCUCUUCAGACUAGGAGUUCUCUAACUAAGUGACCUCAAACUAACUGACAGCCUUCGAACUAACACGGAAACAGCCCACCUGGGAACAAAGUCAGCAUGGAGUAAACUGAUCUGGAAGAUACUAAGAGCUGGAGAGGCAGAGAUCUGAUAACAUCAGGCCCUGGAUCCAGCCAUUCCUGAAGCUAACUCUCUGGAUAUUACUGCUAUGUGAGCCCAUGAAUCUGGUUGGAGAGGAGCAUGAAAGGUUUACUGGAAGAGUUGACAUUUACCAUAGCCUUGACGGAGGAUGACCCGGUCAGGAUGGACUGUGCUGGGCUGCAAUGACAACCCCCUUCUGGAUCCUAUUGAAGGCUUGAGUUCCUAAGCACAAGACUCGUCUGCCAUUGGACAGAGCCUGCUGCAGGUCUGGACCGCCCUGAGUGCUCCACCCCCCAAGUCGUCCUCAAAGGGGUGGAAGUGGCUUCUUCUGGCAAAGUGCCCUCUCCAGUCCACACGCCAGGGCUCCCAUUUUUUAUUGAGGAAGUAGUGGCCUACUCCACUUUUGAACUUGAGCCUCUAUAUCUUUUGCCAGGUAAUAAACAGAGCAGCUCAGUAAAUGUUGAGAAUCGAAAUAGGGGAGGUAAGGGGAAAUGGAUGUGUGUAAGUGGAGUAAAAGAAAGCUGGCCUAAUUUUGUUCAUUACCAUGCCCCCAGUGUAUACAACAGAGGCUGAGCAGGUGCUCAAUCCAGUUACCCAAGAAAUGAGCCCAGCUUAACCUUCUCUUUGGGUGAAUGGGGAAACUGAAUCUUGGCGCUCCUCAGCUUUUCAGUCCUUUUCCCCAGCAGCUGAAUGCAGAACUUGGCUCAAAGCAGUGGCU